AACGAACGCUGGCGGCAGGCUUAACACAUGCAAGUCGAACGAGAUCUUCGGAUCUAGUGGCAGACGGGUGAGGAACACGUGGGAACAUCCCUUUCAGUUCGGAAUAACGUUGGGAAACUAACGCUAAUACCGGAUACGUCCUUCGGGAGAAAGAUUUAUCGCUGAAAGAUUGGCCCGCGUCUGAUUAGCUAGUUGGUGAGGUAAUGGCUCACCAAGGCUACGAUCAGUAGCUGAUCUGAGAGGAUGGUCAGCCACAUUGGGACUGAGACACGGCCCAAACUCCUACGGGAGGCAGCAGUGGGGAAUAUUGGACAAUGGGCGCAAGCCUGAUCCAGCCAUGCCGCGUGAGUGAUGAAGGCCUUCGGGUUGUAAAGCUCUUUUAUCCGGGAAGAUAAUGACUGUACCGGAAGAAUAAGCCCCGGCAAACCUCGUGCCAGCCGCCGCUGUAA
RNAcentral lists this ribosomal RNA (449 nucleotides) under uncultured bacterium. Its description in RNAcentral is "partial 16S ribosomal RNA". It matches the Rfam family "Bacterial small subunit ribosomal RNA", at positions 29 to 523 of the family's 1533-position model. The record is from RNAcentral.